This 777-nucleotide ribosomal RNA is filed under the name uncultured Neocallimastigales. Its description in RNAcentral is "partial large subunit ribosomal RNA". It matches the Rfam family "Eukaryotic large subunit ribosomal RNA", at positions 26 to 618 of the family's 3401-position model. The record is from RNAcentral. Lineage: Eukaryota; Fungi; Neocallimastigomycota; Neocallimastigomycetes; Neocallimastigales.
CGUCUAUAUACGUAUAGCAUAUCAAUAAGCGGAGGAAAAGAAACUAACAAGGAUUCCCUUAGUAACGGCGAGUGAAGCGGGAAGAGCUCAAAUUUGAAAUCUUCAAGGUUCUACCUUGACGAAUUGUAGUUUAAAGAAGUGUUUUCUGUUAGAGGAGUAGGCAAAAGUUCCUUGGAAUAGGGACAUCAUAGAGGGUGAGAAUCCCGUAUUUGGUUAUUCUUUCUAGCUUUGUGAUACACUUUCAAAGAGUCGGAUUGUUUGGGAAUGCAGUCCAAAAUGGGUGGUAAAUUUCAUCUAAAGCUAAAUAUUGGCGAGAGACCGAUAGCGAACAAGUACCGUGAGGGAAAGAUGAAAAGAACUUUGAAAAGAGAGUUAAACAGUACGUGAAAUUGUCAAAAGGGAAGCGUUUGACACCAGUGUUGUUUUUCCGAAAAUCAAUUAAGAGUGGCUUGAUUUUGUGUUGUAUUGACCUCAUCAGCUUUCUUCACUCUUUUCCGAGUCUUUCUUAAUGCACUUUUCGGUUAACAAGUCAACAUCAAUUUCUUUUGUUGUAAAAGGGUAUUUGGAAGGUGGCUUUCUUUUCGGAGAAAGUGUUUAUAGCCUUAUACCUCUACAAUCGGAGAGAUUGAGGUCCUGCAGCGUAGAUCCUUCGGGGCUAGAUACACUUGUGCUAAGUUAUAGCCCUGUAUAGACAACUUGUUGACUAUACUCGUCAUGUAGCUUACUCGCUUGUGCUAUUUUACCUACGCUUAGGAUGUUGAGUCAUCACACAUCUCU